AGCGAACGCUGGCGGCAGGCCUAACACAUGCCAGUCGAACGAACUCUUCGGAGUUAGUGGCGGACGGGUGAGUAACACGUGGGAACGUGCCUUUUGGUUCGGAAUAACUCAGGGAAACUUGUGCUAAUACCGAAUGCGCCCUUCGGGGGAAAGAUUUAUCGCCAUUAGAGCGGCCCGCGUCUGAUUAGCUAGUUGGUGAGGUAACGGCUCACCAAGGCGACGAUCAGUAGCUGGUCUGAGAGGAUGACCAGCCACACUGGGACUGAGACACGGCCCAGACUCCUACGGGAGGCAGCAGUGGGGAAUCUUGCGCAAUGGGCGAAAGCCUGACGCAGCCAUGCCGCGUGAAUGAUGAAGGUCUUAGGAUUGUAAAAUUCUUUCACCGGGGACGAUAAUGACGGUACCCGGAGAAGAAGCCCCGGCUAACUUCGUG
Molecule: ribosomal RNA, 433 nt
Filed under: uncultured bacterium
Lineage: Bacteria
Description: partial 16S ribosomal RNA
Rfam family: Bacterial small subunit ribosomal RNA
Source: RNAcentral